UCCGGCUUAUCACCGGCAGUUUCCUUAGAGUGCCCAACUGAAUGCUGGCAACUAAGGACGAGGGCUGCGCUCGUUGCGGGACUUAACCCAACAUCUCACGACACGAGCUGACGACAGCCAUGCAGCACCUGUGCACCGACCGGCCGAGCCGAAGGACUCCCUUUCAGGUGUCCGCGUCGGGCAUGUCAAGCCCUGGUAAGGUUCUUCGCGUUGCCUCGAAUUAAACCACAUGCUCCACCGCUUGUGCGGGUCCCCGUCAAUUCCUUUGAGUUUUAACCUUGCGGCCGUACUCCCCAGGCGGAGUGCUUAUCGCGUUAGCUGCGACACCAAGGAUAACUCCCUGACAUCUAGCACUCAUCGUUUACGGCGUGGACUAC
Molecule: unclassified non-coding RNA, 377 nt
Filed under: uncultured bacterium
Lineage: Bacteria
Description: contains 16S-23S intergenic spacer region
Source: RNAcentral